AUUGAACGCUGGCGGCAUGCCUUACACAUGCAAGUCGAACGUGAAAGCGGGGCAACCCGCAAGUAGAGUGGCGGACGGGUGAGUAAUACAUCGGAACGUGUCCAGUAAUGGGGGAUAACCUAGCGAAAGUUAGGCUAAUACCGCAUACGAUCUGCGGAUGAAAGCGGGGGAUGCGGCACUAAAGGCUUUUGGCGAAGGUGGCCAAAGGUGAGUCAAGAGCUUUUAGUGCNGCACCUCGCGUUAUUGGAGCGGCUGAUGUCUGAUUAGCUAGUUGGUGAGGUAAAGGCUUACCAAGGCGACGAUCAGUAGCUGGUCUGAGAGGACGGCCAGCCACACUGGGACUGAGACACGGCCCCAGACUCCUACGGGAGGCAGCAGUGGGGAAUUUUGGACAAUGGGGCAACCCCUGAUCCAGCCAUGCCGCGUGAGUGAAGAAGGCC
Molecule: ribosomal RNA, 440 nt
Filed under: uncultured bacterium
Lineage: Bacteria
Description: bacterial SSU rRNA
Rfam family: Bacterial small subunit ribosomal RNA
Source: RNAcentral